GACAGAGGUGCCAAGCGUUAGGCGGAAUCACUGGGCUUAAAGCGUGUGUAGGCGGAUCGUUAAGUGCCUUGUGAAAUCCCACGGCUUAACUGUGGAACGGCUGGGCAUACUGGCGGUCUUGAGCCAUCUAGGGGCGACUGGAACAGACGGUGGAGCGGUGAAAUGCGUAGAUAUCGUUUGGAACGCCAAUGGUGAAAACAGGUCGCUGGGGAUGAGCUGACGCUGAGACACGAAAGCCAGGGGAGCAAACGGG
RNAcentral lists this ribosomal RNA (253 nucleotides) under uncultured bacterium. RNAcentral's name for it is "partial 16S ribosomal RNA". It matches the Rfam family "Bacterial small subunit ribosomal RNA", at positions 524 to 776 of the family's 1533-position model. The record is from RNAcentral.